UUCAUUUUCAUUAUGUUUGUUUGUAAAAAUAUUGAUUAAAAAUUACCAAUCAAUUACUAUGAUGCAAGAAGUUAAAAAUUGCGGAACCAAAAUUACUGAUGCAAGAAGUUAAAAAUUGCGGAACCAAAAAAGGACAGCCCGACCUUCAACAAUGCAAAUAGGCCAUUUGAUAUUUCCCGUGGUAGCUGCUGCAAAAACAAACUUGCCAUUCCAAUCGCGGAAAACACAACCUAAUCCCAUAUCGCCUCUAUGGUUAAACCCUGCAUCAGUAUUAAAUUUCAGAACUCACCAAUGGGUGGUUGCUAUCCCACACAGAGUUUAACCACAGAGUUUCGAGAGAGGGGUAGCAAGAAUGGCAAGUUGGAAUGGCAAGUUGCUCUUCCUCCGAGAAGAUAGCUUCGAUCAUUUCUCGAUUCCAAGUCCGAGAGUUUUGGUCAAUCAAAAUGGAGACUUUGGCAUUUCAAUCAAAAGUUGGAGAGUAAGAAUGUUGCUGGAAGCCUUCGACACCUGGAACCCAUUUAUCCCGCCAGACGUUUCCCCCCAAAACAACAACAAAACUAUAUUCUCUUCUGUUCAUUAUAUUCCCUCAAACUUGCAUUAUCCAUUAAUUCCCAUACAUUUCUCCAAGAAUUGAAUUCCAUCUUGGGAAUUUUAUGUAGGGACGAGUUAUGAACAUAAUAAAAGUAUGUUAAAGCUAACUAUUAAUGGUUGUUUGGAUAGAUGAUUUUGAUGAGUGAUUUUAGGGGUAAUUUCGAUUUUUUUUUAAAAAAUCGUCUCAAAUCACCCGUUUGAGGCAUAAAAAAGAGAAAAGAUUUUUGAAGAUUUGAAAUCAUUGAGAGAAGUAGAGAUUUCGAAGAGAAAAUGAGAGAUUUGAGAAUGUUAACCAAAAUUAUCCUUUAUUUUUUUCAUAAUUGAUACGACAAUAAAUAAACUAAAGGUAUUUUCGUAUCUUUAUUUUUAUUUUUAUUAUUUUAUUUUUCUCUCUUUAUAAUAAUUGUAUUCAAAAUCACCCAUCCAAACAAUCUAUUCCGAAAACAACAAGUUUUUUUCAAAUCUCUAAUUAUUUCAAAUCUUUUCUAUUUCAAAUUACCUACCCAAACUAAGUGUAAAUAUCAUACAAAUAUAUUGGCAGGUGUUUUUUUAUCUACACAUGCAUGUUUAGGCUACUGGAAAGAACCUGGAAUAGGGUUUGAGGCUUUGAGCAUUGAGAAGUUCUCUGCAACCAUGAUAAAGAGUAAAGAAAAAGAAGCCACAACUAGAGAUUUUCAGGAAUUACUGAAAAAAACAGUGGAGAAAAAAGCAGGGGAGAAAGAAAGACUGGCAAACAGAAAAAGAAACUUAAAGGGCUUCUUCUCACUGUUACCAACAGCAUACCCCCUUUUCUCUUCGAUUUAUCGCACUCUCUGUCUCCAUGAAAAGAAGAGCUUACUUCUCUCCAAACCCACUAAACCCUACACGCCCAUUGCAUCCAUCUAGCUCCCUGCCUAUCAGCAAGCAGUCUAACCAUUAAUGGCUCCCUGAAAUAUUGUUGUUUGACUGUCAGAUAUUAUGUGGUAUUACAAUUACAACAGGAGAACAUAAUGGAAAGGAAGAACAGUGGAGAACAGAGGGAGAGAGACGGAGGACUAACAAACUCAAAAUCCUUACCUGAAGAGGAGGACAGGACAGCAAUGGCUCCCCUCAACUUACCCUUUUGGAUGAUGUUGUUGACUUUUUUUCCAUGGCUUCCACCAGUUACCUGCCAAUAUAUCAUCAUGCACAAUUGGAGCAUGAUUUCAAAGUGUCACACUUUUACUUUCAAAAAUCGUUAUAUGGUAAAUAAAACUACGGAAAUUGCUGACACAAUAGGAGACCAAUUUCCUCGAGAUGGGCCUGAUUCCCUUUCCCCUUUGUUAUUCUUUUUUCAAACUUUAACCCUCAAUCCAUUAGUAAGUGAAAUGUGAAAUGAAGUUGGGGGUUCCAAUGAUUAUAUAUCCACACAAAUGAAGACUUCAUACAAAGAAAGACAGUACCAGACCAGUGUCUUUCUUCACUCUCUCAAUACACACAACACAACAUGUAUUGAGAGAGCUAAAGGGAAGCCAGAAAAACCCCCACAAUCUCUCAACAAUGUUGCAAAUCACCAGCAUUGUCCUGGUUUUGCUCCUUAGCUCCUUCACAGAACUCGGAUGGGCAAUGCAGCUCAACCUCACUUUCCCAUCUCCUCACCCUGACCCAGAGUUCGUAGCUCAAGAAGUUCAAAGGUAAAGUAAGAAAAAAGAAAGCAAAAAUCUAUCACCUUUUUGGCUGCACAAACUUCAAACUCUUGUUCAUUCAUGGUGUUUUGCAGGAGAGUGAAUGCUUCAAUCUCAAGAAGGAAGACCCUCCAGAUAUCCCAGAAAGACGAAUCCGCUUGCUUCACUGGGAACCCAAUCGACGACUGCUGG
RNAcentral lists this long non-coding RNA (2426 nucleotides) under Linum usitatissimum (flax). RNAcentral's name for it is "long non-coding RNA (LUSI_LNC003614)". Lineage: Eukaryota; Viridiplantae; Streptophyta; Magnoliopsida; Malpighiales; Linaceae. The record is from RNAcentral.